AAAGUUAAACAUUAUAUUAUAUGGUUUAUAUUUGAAUUUGGAUCUAGUGAUUAGGGUUUACAGUUUAGUGUUUAGGGGUUGGGUUUAGUAUUUAUAGGAUGUCGGGGUGUGGGUGGGAGUCAAUAAAUGGAAUAUAUAACAGUUUGAACCAUGCUCAAUUUGCAGUGGUAGACUAUUAUACUUUGUAUAUAAAAAUGUAAUAUUAGUACUAAUUUAAUUUUAUUAAAAAGAAUAGAACAAUAUUUUCAUAUUAAAAAAUAAAACAACAAUUGCAACAACAACAUAACUUAUAUAAGAAUUUUUUUGGGAAAGAAAUGUGUGACUUGGACUUCAUUACAUGAUUUGAUAGUAAAUAGUAGUGAAUCAUUUUUGUC
RNAcentral lists this long non-coding RNA (374 nucleotides) under Brassica napus (rape). RNAcentral's name for it is "long non-coding RNA (BNAP_LNC018733)". Lineage: Eukaryota; Viridiplantae; Streptophyta; Magnoliopsida; Brassicales; Brassicaceae. The record is from RNAcentral.